This 642-nucleotide ribosomal RNA is filed under the name uncultured bacterium. RNAcentral describes it as "bacterial SSU rRNA". It matches the Rfam family "Bacterial small subunit ribosomal RNA", at positions 110 to 753 of the family's 1533-position model. The record is from RNAcentral.
GUAACGCGUAUGCAACCUACCUUUUACUGAGGGAUAGCCCGGGGAAACUCGGAUUAACACUUCAUGGUAUAUUGAGAAGGCAUCUUUUUGAUAUUAAAGGCUACGGUAAAAGAUGGGCAUGCGUCCGAUUAGCUAGUUGGCGGGGUAAUGGCCCACCAAGGCGAUGAUCGGUAGGGGACCUGAGAGGGUGAUCCCCCACACUGGCACUGAGAUACGGGCCAGACUCCUACGGGAGGCAGCAGUAGGGAAUAUUGGGCAAUGGGCGAGAGCCUGACCCAGCCAUGCCGCGUGCAGGAAGAAGGCCUUCUGGGUUGUAAACUGCUUUUGACAGGGAAGAAAAUGCUCUUGCGAGAGUUUCUGACGGUACCUGUAGAAUAAGCACCGGCUAACUCCGUGCCAGCAGCCGCGGUAAUACGGAGGGUGCAAGCGUUGUCCGGAUUUAUUGGGUUUAAAGGGUGCGUAGGCGGCUUAUUAAGUCAGUGGUGAAAUCCGACAGCUUAACUGUUGAAAUGCCAUUGAUACUGAUGAGCUUGAGUGCAGACGAGGUAGGCGGAAUUGAUAGUGUAGCGGUGAAAUGCAUAGAUACUAUCAGGAACACCGAUUGCGAAGGCAGCUUACUAGGUUGCAACUGACGCUGAGGCA